GAUGAACGCUGGCGGCGUGCCUAAUACAUGCAAGUCGAGCGAACAGAUGAGGAGCUUGCUCCUCUGACGUUAGCGGCGGACGGGUGAGUAACACGUGGAUAACCUACCUAUAAGACUGGGAUAACUUCGGGAAACCGGAGCUAAUACCGGAUAAUAUAUUGAACCGCAUGGUUCAAUAGUGAAAGACGGUUUUGCUGUCACUUAUAGAUGGAUCCGCGCCGCAUUAGCUAGUUGGUAAGGUAACGGCUUACCAAGGCAACGAUGCGUAGCCGACCUGAGAGGGUGAUCGGCCACACUGGAACUGAGACACGGUCCAGACUCCUACGGGAGGCAGCAGUAGGGAAUCUUCCGAAAAGGGCGAAAGCCUGACGGAGCAACGCCGCGUGAGUGAUGAAGGUCUUCGGAUCGUAAAACUCUGUUAUUAGGGAAGAACAAAUGUGUAAGUAACUAUGCACGUCUUGACGGUACCUAAUCAGAAAGCCACGGCUAACUACGUG
Molecule: ribosomal RNA, 497 nt
Filed under: uncultured bacterium
Lineage: Bacteria
Description: partial 16S ribosomal RNA
Rfam family: Bacterial small subunit ribosomal RNA
Source: RNAcentral